Long non-coding RNA from Asparagus officinalis (garden asparagus), 274 nucleotides. RefSeq lists it as uncharacterized. The transcript is spliced from 3 exons. The record is from RefSeq and is a predicted model, not a curated record. Lineage: Eukaryota; Viridiplantae; Streptophyta; Magnoliopsida; Asparagales; Asparagaceae.
UUGGAGAUUUGGCUACAAAUGAAGGAUCAAUUCUUGAAGCAGAAAUCAAAUAUAAGCCUGUAAUAGCAUUAUCAGAUUUUAAAAUCUCUAUAUAUCAAGGAGAUACAAGCAUAUCGUCGCAAAUUAUUUCAACAUUAUGUAUCAACCCAAAAAUAGAACUAGCUAGCGAAUUAAGGGAAUGGUUUCAAUUGGAAGAAUCUGCAAAAGCAAAAGGAUCUCCAUCGACGCUUUUUAAAAAUGCCAAGGAAAUUCAUAUUAGUGAUAUUAUGCAUAA